GGAGAGGUGCCAGAGUGGUUGAACGGACCGGUUUCGAAAACCGGCAGAGGGAUUUAUCCCUCUCGGGAGUUCGAAUCUCCCCCUCUCCG
RNAcentral lists this transfer RNA (89 nucleotides) under Phycisphaerae bacterium. RNAcentral describes it as "tRNA-Ser". It matches the Rfam family "tRNA". From Rfam's summary of the family: Transfer RNA (tRNA) molecules are approximately 80 nucleotides in length. RNAcentral also lists the same sequence under 1 other name. Lineage: Bacteria; Pseudomonadati; Planctomycetota; Phycisphaerae. The record is from RNAcentral.